UUUCCCUUUAAAAUCUUUCCACAUACCAUUUGAAUAUGGGUGAUACAUUUUAACUUCUUAUCGUUUUGCAUGUCGCCUGCUUAGAACGCCUAGAAAUUAUUUACAGCAAAACACGAGUUUAAAUGCAUUUCAAAACGACGACGACCUUUGUCCAUGACACUGCAGGUGAUUAACAGAUUGUAUAUAUUACAGUGGGUUAAAUUACAGUAUGGUGCUGCAUGAUUAUUCAAAGUCCCGUUAUGGUUAGCGUGCCUUGUUUUUAGGAUUUCAGCCGUAUGAAACAGUAUUUUUCGCCUUUUAUCUGUUGUGCCCCUUUGCAGCUCGAUAGGCAACUUAACGCCUGGCGAACGCAAAUUUUACUCGAUUCCCCGGCUAGGCCUAGCUUGUCCUGGACUACAUUUCCCAGCAGUCUUCGCUCGGAGCGCGAGACUGGUCGUCAGGUGCCCACACCCCUCUAUAUUUUCGCGCCGAGAUUUGCUCUUCCUCCUCACGCGAAGAAACGGGAGGGGGGAAAUACAUCCCAUUUCCCAGCAUUCCUUGAGGCAAGGGCUUUAAAGCGAGUUCCUGUUUGCCCGAGGGGAUUAAUUGACCGGCGCCGUCUUUUCCUCGGGGGCCGCAGCAGAGAAGGUCGAGAGCACCGACCUCCCAGCCCACCCCCCGCAACCCCGCUCCGUUGCCGGUCUGUUCUUGUUCAAGAUGGCGCUGGAAGGCUCUGUGACGGGCCAGGCCUACGAGUCACGUGGACAGAGCCAAACAGAAUUGAUAGCUGAGUGCUUGAACAUGCACUGCCAAAGAACUUAACAAAUGGAAAAAUUUAAAAAGAAGGUGCAGUAUGUACCUAUGCAACUAUAGUUUGGCUGAGACAGCUCAAAAGAAAGCUGAAGGAUGGGGAAUUGUAGACUAUAUCAUAUUUUCACUGACAGCAUUCACCAGCUAUAUGCCCCAGAAAAGAAACUCACAGCAAUACUACCCAAAAUAAGUUUUUAUAUUUAUUUAUUUUUUACAAUAUCAUUUUAAAACUUUGUUGUGCAUACAUUUUCCAGCUUCCUUAUUUCAUUGCACUUAAAAGUUUCAAAACACAUAAAAUAUAUCCCUUUACUAAACAUUUUUGUUCUCGGGUUACAAAAAAGUUUUGACAUUUCACAGUCACCACGCUUAAGUACAUUGAUCCAAACAAUUUUUAUCCAGAAGACUCUCUUCAUUGUUUGGAAUGCUGAGCCCAGAAUAUAGUACAUUCCUCGCUUACAGUCACUGUGCCAAUAAAGGAAGAAAAUGGCAAAAUUAAACUGAAAUACAAUGGAACAUCAAAGUAAAGUGGAGGUUGACAGGGAGAAGCCUCCUUCAAGUAUAAUGUAGGUAGAAUUUGGCAGAAUGAUUGAAGAGGUAUUUGGCCACUGUCUAUGUCAUCUUCAUAUGACAGGAAAGAAAAAUUACAAGUGUGCAAUUUUCACAUAACUCACAACAUAAGAAACAAAACUGCAAGAGUGCAUUAAGCAAAGGGCAAAGGACUAAAAUAAAUUUAGUAGGAUUGUGCUGUAUGAAAGACAAGUACCUGUAAAGUUCAAGCAACAACCUACAAAAUGUUUUAUUUCAACAUCUCACUUAGCGAAGUACCUUGAAGAACGUUCUUAUAGAACAGGUAUCCCGGACUGCUAGUUUUAAAACUGACAAUGCAACUCUCUUUAUGGACAUUGGGCAAGUACUGAAAAACAACUCUUUGAUUAUUUGAUAAAAAUAGAAUAAUUUUGGUAAAUUCUGAUUAGGAAGAAGUUAGACAUUUUGAGUUACAGCUGUCAGAUAUUUACUGUAAAGGGGAAUUUCCCUUGUACUGUAUGAACUGGAAAGGGCAGACAGAAUCAGGAGGUUGUUCUAGAAUGUUUUAAAAUCGGGAGAAGGAAAGAGUAGAUAAGCUAAGCGAUGUAAUAAAAUGUGUCUCGGGCAAUUUCUGUAGUGCUGAUUUGCAAAUUUGGACAAUGUUAUCAUUGAAUAUUUACAAUCAGAUAGCAAACAUUGAUCAUGUGGCUGUAGCAGCUCCAUAAGACAAGUGAAUUUCCUCUCUUAUCUCAAUUUUUAUUUGCCUAAAAGCUCUUCCAGUUCUGGCCUAGGUGAGAUAGUUGGUAUGAAAGUCUGAGUUUUCCCCAUUUUCUUUAGGCAAGUUAUUCUAAUAAUUUCCGACACUGUUACCAACACUGUUGAAAUAGAUGGUGGCCCAGUGACAAUUUUCCAACCCUUCACUUUCCCAAGCUAUAACCUUCAUUUCCAGUAACCUUUCACCUUUAAGAUAUAUGUAACUGGUUUACUUUUAAGCACGAUUUUCAACCUUGUCUUGGGUUAUUAAACUGUUGAUGCAGCAGCAGCAGCAAAGUGAAUUAAUUCUAGACAAUACUGAAUUCCAUAUUGCAAUUUCUUUUUAAAAACAAAAAACAGUAUUACUACACACCUGGAAAUCAGUUACUGAAGUGUGAAUGGAAUUUUGCUGUCCAGUUUGCAUAGCUCUCAGCUAGGCUUGGCAAAUGUUCUAUGCUGCAGCCCAAUAAUAAAGCGCAUGGGGCAAGAUCCAUCCCUCACUGAAUGCAUGAGCAGAAAACACUUUUGCUUACCCACAGGAGCAAAGCAACAGUUCCAAAAGUAGCCUUAAAAUUUAUAGGAUGUCAGUCUGGAGGGUUUCCAGUAGUGGGAGGAGGCUUUUAAGGGGGGUAGGGGUUGCCACUCACUUCUGUCUGAAUCCUGUCUACUGGCUCUCAUAAAAUAUAUUCAU
Molecule: RNA transcript, 2758 nt
Organism: Podarcis raffonei (Aeolian wall lizard)
Lineage: Eukaryota; Metazoa; Chordata; Lepidosauria; Squamata; Lacertidae
Exons: 2
Source: RefSeq, a predicted model, not a curated record